RNAcentral lists this transfer RNA (76 nucleotides) under Granulicella aggregans. RNAcentral describes it as "tRNA-Arg". It matches the Rfam family "tRNA". Rfam says of the family: Transfer RNA (tRNA) molecules are approximately 80 nucleotides in length. Lineage: Bacteria; Pseudomonadati; Acidobacteriota; Terriglobia; Terriglobales; Acidobacteriaceae. The record is from RNAcentral.
GCAGGCGUCGUCCGACGGAUGAGGGCACAGAGCUACGAACUCUGAGAUGGAGGUUCGAUUCCUUCCGCCUGCACCA